RNAcentral lists this ribosomal RNA (390 nucleotides) under Bolidophyceae sp. RNAcentral's name for it is "partial small subunit ribosomal RNA". It matches the Rfam family "Eukaryotic small subunit ribosomal RNA", at positions 582 to 975 of the family's 1831-position model. The record is from RNAcentral. Lineage: Eukaryota; Bolidophyceae.
AUUCCAGCUCCAAUAGCGUAUAUUAAAGUUGUUGCAGUUAAAAAGCUCGUAGUUGGAUUUCUGGUGGGAGCGUUGGGUCGGCCCUAAGGGCUCGUACUCAAAUGUUUUCCGCCAUCCUUGGAGGGAUGUUGUCUGGCAUUAAGUUGUCGGGCUUCCGAUCUCCAUCGUUUACUGUGAAAAAAUUAGAGUGUUCAAAGCAGGCUUACGCCGUUGAAUACAUUAGCAUGGAAUAAUAAGAUAGGACCCUGGUACUAUUUUGUUGGUUUGCGUACCUAGGUAAUGAUUAAUAGGGACAGUUGGGGGUAUUCGUAUUCCGUUGUCAGAGGUGAAAUUCUUGGAUUUACGGAAGACGAACUACUGCGAAAGCAUUUACCAAGGAUGUUUUCAUCA